GAUGAACGCUAGCGGCAGGCCUAACACAUGCAAGUCGAACGGUAACAUUUCUUGCUUGCAAGAAGAUGACGAGUGGCGCACGGGUGCGUAACGCGUAUACAAUCUGCCCUUUACUGGGGUAUAGCCCAGAGAAAUUUGGAUUAAGCCCCCAUGGUACAUGUUUAUGGCAUCAUAUACAUGUUAAAGGAUACGGUAAAGGAUGAGUAUGCGUCCCAUUAGCUAGAUGGUAAGGUAACGGCUUACCAUGGCCACGAUGGGUAGGGGCCCUGAGAGGGGGAUCCCCCACACUGGUACUGAGACACGGACCAGACUCCUACGGGAGGCAGCAGUGAGGAAUAUUGGACAAUGGGCGGAAGCCUGAUCCAGCCAUGCCGCGUGCAGGAUGACUGCCCUAUGGGUUGUAAACUGCUUUUAUACAGGAAGAAUAAGGGGUUCGUGAACCCUGAUGACGGUACUGUAAGAAUAAGGACCGGCUAACUCCG
RNAcentral lists this ribosomal RNA (482 nucleotides) under uncultured Flavobacteriaceae bacterium. Its description in RNAcentral is "bacterial SSU rRNA". It matches the Rfam family "Bacterial small subunit ribosomal RNA", at positions 28 to 505 of the family's 1533-position model. Lineage: Bacteria; Pseudomonadati; Bacteroidota; Flavobacteriia; Flavobacteriales; Flavobacteriaceae. The record is from RNAcentral.